RNAcentral lists this ribosomal RNA (429 nucleotides) under bacterium. RNAcentral's name for it is "partial 16S ribosomal RNA". It matches the Rfam family "Bacterial small subunit ribosomal RNA", at positions 355 to 776 of the family's 1533-position model. The record is from RNAcentral.
UGGGGAAUCUUCCGCAAUGGACGAAAGUCUGACGGAGCAACGCCGCGUGAGUGAUGACGGCCUUCGGGUUGUAAAGCUCUGUUAAUCGGGACGAAUGGUUCUUGCGCGAAUAGUGCAAGGAUUUGACGGUACCGGAAUAGAAAGCCACGGCUAACUACGUGCCAGCAGCCGCGGUAAUACGUAGGUGGCAAGCGUUGUCCGGAAUUAUUGGGCGUAAAGCGCGCGCAGGCGGAUGGGUCAGUCUGUCUUAAAAGUUCGGGGCUUAACCCCGUGAUGGGAUGGAAACUGCCAAUCUAGAGUAUCGGAGAGGAAAGUGGAAUUCCUAGUGUAGCGGUGAAAUGCGUAGAUAUUAGGAAGAACACCAGUGGCGAAGGCGGCUUUCUGGACGAAAACUGACGCUGAGGCGCGAAAGCCAGGGGAGCGAACGGG